CCGCACUCCCAGGCGCCAAUUAAAAUGUAACUUUUAUUUUCACAUAAAAAAAUAAACGUUUCAGUCCCCGAUUGGAACUUUCCUCAGGACAAUCGGGGACUGAAACGUUGACCUUUGGCAUUUAUUUUUUGAUGUGAAAAUAAAAGUUACAUUUUAAUUGGAGCAUGGGAGUGCGG
Pelobates cultripes (western spadefoot toad) is the source of this 176-nucleotide non-coding RNA. The record is from the annotation of a GenBank genome assembly. Lineage: Eukaryota; Metazoa; Chordata; Amphibia; Anura; Pelobatidae.